CCUACGGGAGGCAGCAGUCGAGAAUCAUUCAGAAUGGGGGAAACCCUGAUGGUGCGACGCCGCGUGGGGGAAUGAAGGUCUUCGGAUUGUAAACCCCUGUCAUGUGGGAGCAAAUUAAAAAGAUAGUACCACACGAGGAAGAGACGGCUAACUCUGUGCCAGCAGCCGCGGUAAUACAGAGGUCUCAAGCGUUGUUCGGAAUCACUGGGCGUAAAGCGUGCGUAGGCUGUUUCGUAAGUCGUGUGUGAAAGGCGCGGGCUCAACCCGCGGACGGCACAUGAUACUGCGAGACUAGAGUAAUGGAGGGGGAACCGGAAUUCUCGGUGUAGCAGUGAAAUGCGUAGAUAUCGAGAGGAACACUCGUGGCGAAGGCGGGUUCCUGGACAUUAACUGACGCUGAGGCACGAAGGCCAGGGGAGCGAAAGGGAUUAGAUACCCCUGUAGUC
This 446-nucleotide ribosomal RNA is filed under the name uncultured bacterium. RNAcentral's name for it is "partial 16S ribosomal RNA". It matches the Rfam family "Bacterial small subunit ribosomal RNA", at positions 338 to 795 of the family's 1533-position model. The record is from RNAcentral.